CGGUGUCACGAAUUUGAGCCUCUAGAAUACAGAAUAUCAUCCUAAUACAUGGUAUAUCCAAAGUCUGAUAAUGCGGAAAUAAAGAGAUAGGAUAGGAGGGAGAAGAUCAAUGGCUGCGAACGCCGUGCAGCUACCUCGAUACUCCCAGAGGCUGGAUCUGCUGAUCAACUGGAUCUACUAAGCCUGAGACUGCCCUGGAUCUACACACAAGGUGCAGGGAGUAAAGUGAGUACUCUGACCCAGUGAGUAAUAAAAGUAACUACAGUCCGAAGAUAAGAAAAUCCAGUAAAUACACAAAGUAAGCUAAAAUCCAAAUAUACAACAACAUAUGGAACUGAGCAGCUAAACACCAGUAUAAAUACAAAUACAUGAAUGCAAUGCAAUGCAUAUAAUGGUACAUUCCAGUACCCACUACGGCGUGCGGCCAGAGCCAUCCAUAUUUAUUUAUCGUCGACGGCGCUCACUGGGGGUGUGUACAGACUCCGGAGGGGAUCCUACAGCCCAAGCGCAAUAUCUUGGUCAGUCAUUGUUACCUGACCAAUUUAUAUCAUACAGUGCCAUUGUUACAACUGUUCAAGUAUAUCAUCCAGUGUCAUUGUUACCACUAUUUCAAGUAUAUCACACAGUGUCAUUGUUACCACUGUGUCAAGUAUAUCACACAGUGUCAUUGUUACCACUGUUUCAAGUCACUUUAUAAUCAGUCAAGAAAAUAAUAUAAUAAGCCCCUUGGGCAUUUACAAAACAGAAGUUCCCACCCCGGAAUACAUUUAAAAAUAUCAUUUAUGUUUUCAACACUUAGAAUUAUGGCUGAGUUUGCAAAACAACAUUUAACACCUUGGACUGAAAUUAAAUGAUAUGCAAAUCAUGCUAAGCAGUAAUAUCCAUCCUCGAAGGAUUUUACAAAUCGGCACAAGGCCCCAAACAUGGCAUCAAGCCCAGUAAUAUCAAUGAAGUAUGUGUAUCAAUCACUAGUAUAGUAUAAACAUCACACGGGGUGGACCAAGUCACAAUCCCCAGUCGUAUCCGACCCUGCACUCAUCAUGGAGUGCGUGUCACGCCUCAAUAUAGCAUUACAAUGUGAAAGUCCGGGGUUUCAAACCCUCAGAAUAGCAUUUACAUCUAUUACUCACCUCUGACCGGCCGUAGACUAGUCCGCAAUGCCCUUUCCUUUUGAAUCGACCUCUUCGCGUGUCGAAUCUAGUCAAAACCACAACGAAUACGUUACAAUAGUCUAAGGGAAUAUAACCCAAUAAAAAAUACUCGAAAAAUGUCGAAAAUCACGAAAUUAGCAAAACCCGAGCCCCGGGCCCACGUCUCGAAAUUCAGAAAUUUUUACAUCAACACGACCCUUAUAUCGCCACGAGUCUAUACAUACCAAAUUCACAAAAAUCAGAGUUCAUUUGACCCCUCAAAUCACCAUUUAAUUCUCUUAAGUUUCAAGCUCUAAACCACCAUUUUUGUCCAUAAAUUACUUGAGUUUUCAGCUCUAAUCCAUGUAUUUAACUUGGAAAUAAGUAGAAACAACUCACCUUUGAUGCUUGAUGAAAUCCCCCUUGAAAUUCUCUCCAAAAUAAUCC
Molecule: long non-coding RNA, 1577 nt
Filed under: Nicotiana tabacum (common tobacco)
Lineage: Eukaryota; Viridiplantae; Streptophyta; Magnoliopsida; Solanales; Solanaceae
Description: long non-coding RNA (NTAB_LNC015901)
Source: RNAcentral